AGUGAACGCUGGCGGUAGGCCUAACACAUGCAAGUCGAACGGCAGCACAGUAAGCGCUUGCUCUUACGGGUGGCGAGUGGCGGACGGGUGAGGCAUACAUCGGAAUCUACUUUUUCGUGGGGGGUAACGUAGGGAAACUUACGCUAAUACCGCAUACGACCUACGGCUGAAAGCAGUGGAUCUUCGCACCUUGCGCGAUUGUAUGAGCCGAUGUCGGAUUAGCUAGUUGGCGGGGUAAAGGCCCACCAAGGCGACGAUCCGUAGCUGGUCUGAGAGGAUGAUCAGCCACACUGGAACUGAGACACGGUCCAGACUCCUACGGGAGGCAGCAGUGGGGAAUAUUGGACAAUGGGCGCAAGCCUGAUCCAGCCAUACCGCGUGGGUGAAGAAGGCCUUCGGGUUGUAAAGCCCUUUUGUUGGGAAAGAAAAGCAGCAGGUUAAUACCCCGCUGUUCUGACGGUACCCAAAGAAUAAGCACCGGCUAACUUCGUG
RNAcentral lists this ribosomal RNA (492 nucleotides) under uncultured bacterium. RNAcentral describes it as "partial 16S ribosomal RNA". It matches the Rfam family "Bacterial small subunit ribosomal RNA", at positions 29 to 507 of the family's 1533-position model. The record is from RNAcentral.